AUUCCUCCUGCUGCACGUUGCCGGGAUAUCCUGUGGACUGUUUAUCGUCUGCUUCUGCAAAUGCACUGCCAAUCAUCAGCCUAUAUAAACUCUCUACACCUGUCAGCAAAGCGCGGCUGUGAUUUAAUCUGAGCAGCUCGCCUGGUGUACUUGUGAAGCUUUGCUAAUGGUGGUAUUUGUUGGUUGUGGUUAAGCUAUUGGUUACUGUUUAACCUGUCUGUUUUCCCUGGCGACUUGGUUAGAGCUGGCUGGCUUGUUAUUAGCUAGACUUGUUAAAUAGGUAUCAAACCUAGGGUUUGAUCUCUUUUGUGCUGUUUGGUUUGUUGCCUCAUGUUAGUGGAUACCGUGGCUCUUGAUACAUCACAAAGACUUGCUGUCUUGGUCACAGAUGCGCCAGCAAGACGUGCACCAACAAUUUGUCCUCUUUUGAACUCUGGCUGCAGGUCUAGAUGGUGUCAGCCCCAGAGGCCUGAAAGCAGUGAUGAACUCUGAUGCUCAUGAUGCUCAAUUUAUUCUCCUCACCGGCUUGAGGAUUGUUCAUGGGUCUGAAGAAAAGAUGGGGGGGACCCAGAGUUUCACGCGAUCAACUCAAAAAUGGUAAACCUCUCAUCCGUCCAAAACGGGAAAAACAUGAGGAACCAUUGCAGUUGACUGAAAAACAAGGAGGAAACUCAUCUCCUUGGAACAAACCCUCUGUGGGUUUCCCCUGCGCCUGGGUGCGUCUAACGGUCUUCAACAGGGAUAUGAAUAUUCUGAUGUUCUUAUAUAAGAAAGAUUUCAAGCUCUUCCAGGAAUGGCCAAUGUGGAGGAAAAGAAAACCCUCCUCACCAUAGUCUCGUAAACUACAUCUGGAACUGGUGCCUAAAAGUUUGUUUCCUUGGCUUUAAUUAGCUUUGAUGACAUCAGCUUUGAGGCCCGCUGCUGCGUAGUAGAGUUGUUUACCUGACCAAAAUGGCAAGUGUGACCCCGAACAAAUGCUUUUUUCACAUGUUAACCCGGAAGUGAGCACCGCUCAACCUGACAUAAUUUAAUGGUGCUCUAUUUGGGGAUGAAUAAAAGAUGUACAUUGUGCUUUUCAGAGGCAAGCUUUGGAUAUUUUUUAUGCAGAAAAGAGGUGCAACAACAUUUUCCCUCAAGGUGAGCACUGAGUGGCUGCUCUGUGAAUCUCUUUUGUGUAAGUGUGAGUAGCAGAGACAAAGAUAAGCUUUUGGUUAUGCAGAGACUGUUUUUGCUGUCUCUGUGAGGAACCACUAUUUAUGAUUUCUGCCUCUUCCCUUGCUUCAAGCUUAACUAUAACAUUUUAUUUUCUGUAUGUUUCAUGUGGUUUCCCUGCAAGUACCGAGUAGCAUGAAGCAACCGCCUUUUUGCAGUCAGAUGUUCAAUAUCUCCUCCGAAGAGAUACAUAUAAUUUAAGUCUAUGUCUUCAUGAUGGCAGCAUGCAUGGUGUUUGACAUCUUAUUAUGUAAGUUCCUUUUGUGUAAGUUCCUUCUUUAUAUUUGUUGCAUUUGUUUUAAUUUGAUCAUUGAAAUUCUGAAUGUCAGUGUUCUAAUUGUAAACCUUAAUAGGAAAAUGAAAUUAUUGGUGUGCAACAUCCUUAUUUAGACACAUUUAAUAAAAAAAAUUCAUAUAUAA
Molecule: long non-coding RNA, 1632 nt
Organism: Girardinichthys multiradiatus
Lineage: Eukaryota; Metazoa; Chordata; Actinopteri; Cyprinodontiformes; Goodeidae
Exons: 3
Source: RefSeq, a predicted model, not a curated record